This 250-nucleotide ribosomal RNA is filed under the name uncultured bacterium. RNAcentral's name for it is "partial 16S ribosomal RNA". It matches the Rfam family "Bacterial small subunit ribosomal RNA", at positions 524 to 773 of the family's 1533-position model. RNAcentral also lists the same sequence under 1 other name. The record is from RNAcentral.
UACGUAGGGGCCGAGCGUUGUCCGGAGUUAUUGGGCGUAAAGCGCGCGCAGGCGGCUUCGCGCGUCCGACGUGAAAGCCCCCGGCUUAACCGGGGAGGGUCGUUGGGUACGGCGAGGCUUGAGGGCGGGAGAGGGUGGUGGAAUUCCCGGUGUAGUGGUGAAAUGCGUAGAGAUCGGGAGGAACACCUGUGGCGAAGGCGGCCACCUGGGCCGACCCUGACGCUGAGGCGCGAAGGCGUGGGGAGCGAAC